This 207-nucleotide ribosomal RNA is filed under the name uncultured bacterium. RNAcentral's name for it is "partial 16S ribosomal RNA". It matches the Rfam family "Bacterial small subunit ribosomal RNA", at positions 568 to 774 of the family's 1533-position model. The record is from RNAcentral.
CUCGUAGGCGGUUCGUCGCGUCCGGUGUGAAAGUCCAUCGCUUAACGGUGGAUCCGCGCCGGGUACGGGCGGGCUUGAGUGCGGUAGGGGAGACUGGAAUUCCCGGUGUAACGGUGGAAUGCGCAGAUAUCGGGUGGAACACCGGUGGCGAAGGCGGCCCUCUGGGCCGAGACCGACGCUGAGGCGCGAAAGCUGGGGGAGCGAACA